Planococcus citri (citrus mealybug) is the source of this 1163-nucleotide long non-coding RNA. RefSeq lists it as uncharacterized. NCBI's taxonomy places the organism in Eukaryota, Metazoa, Arthropoda, Insecta, Hemiptera, Pseudococcidae. The record is from RefSeq and is a predicted model, not a curated record. The transcript has 2 exons.
UUACACCGGACUUGGCGAUAAAACUUUCAACUUGGUUGCUGAAAAUUCAGAUUUUCAGAACGUUCUCGAGUGUUUUGUGAAAGUGACGAUGGUUCGUUUUACAGCUCACAAAAAACGAGCAAAGAAUCGAGAAAUCAAUCUGGAGGAGCAGGAGAUUAUUUCAACCCAUCAUAUGAAAUUCACAAGAAACCAGCUUCGAUGAAGAAAUCAGUUGUUGAAAAUCCCGCAGAACUCAACUUCCAACAAAAAAAGGCUGCAAUUAGCCAAUUCUUCAGAAAAACCAAAAACCUGGGUACCGAGGAAAAAAUUCAAUUCUUGCAGGAAGCUUCAGAAUAGAACAAAAAGUUUGAAAAUGGGUUCAAUUUCAAAAGGAAAGCCAGCAGCUUCUCCAAAUUGUUCCAGAGAGUUCAAAUUUUACAGUACAAUAGAAGGAUGUACCAGUACCUGAAAUGCCUUUUGCAGGUUUCAUUUUUGAUUUGGGCCCUCCAUAGGAUUUUUUUCUCAAAGAAAUAGGUUGGCAGUUCUGAGCAUAUAGAAUUGUCAAUCAACAUUUUUUUGGGGGGAAAAUCCCAGGAUAGAUCUUAAUUAAAUGAAACCCCCGUAUUUUGGCGUCUCCUUCGCCUGCCUCUUCUCCUUCACCUAGGAAAAAGCUAUUCAAGCUUCUAUCAUUAUCAUUUAUCAAGUUAUCAAAUUCGCAGACGUCACAGAAAAUCAUUCACACCCGAUUCAAAUUCACAACCACUCAAAACGCUUCAAACUUUCAAACAAAAUAAACAACACGAGUCCAAAAAUUCCUCGAUAUUUUUUUUCUCCUUCAAUAAAACACAAAAAAAAUUUAACAAAUGAAAACUACGUUUACGUGGAAAUAAAUUAAAUUUCAUACAUCUACAUCAAUUUUUUACUACAUAAUAUUGAAACAGGAACUAAAAAUUCAGGCUAAAUUGAAUCGCUGUGUUCGAUUCUCGUCACGUGAACUUCGUCGAUUUUCACGGGAGCGAUGAAAAAUAGAAGAAAAACAAGUAAUAUAAUGACAAGCCGAAGAAAACCACAAAAACAGCCGGUCCGAUCAUAGGUGCAAAGAAGAACGGAAAGUAAAAAGGCAUAGCUACGAAAUACGCGAUCCAUAAUGCAGUAGCAGCCCUCAUACCUGCCGAAACAAACGA